This 31-nucleotide non-coding RNA is filed under the name Mus musculus (house mouse). The record is from RNAcentral. Lineage: Eukaryota; Metazoa; Chordata; Mammalia; Rodentia; Muridae.
UUCCCAAUACCUGCUGCAUCUGGUGGGCAGC